CGCACCUAAAAGCGUUUUCUUGCCAGCCUGUUAAAUGCUCUUGAAAAUCGUAGAUGUGUGCCAGAGCAAAGCUCAGUUGCAAGUGAUUCGGCCUCCCUCGAUGGCAGAUAUCCAUGACGCUGACUACAAGA
Small nucleolar RNA from Drosophila subpulchrella, 131 nucleotides. RefSeq annotates it as small nucleolar RNA psi28S-3316. NCBI's taxonomy places the organism in Eukaryota, Metazoa, Arthropoda, Insecta, Diptera, Drosophilidae. The transcript has a single exon. The record is from RefSeq and is a predicted model, not a curated record.